ACGAGAAUAGCUUGCUAUUCGGCGUCGAGCGGCGGACGGGUGAGUAAUGCUUGGGAAUAUGCCUUUAGGUGGGGGACAACAGUUGGAAACGACUGCUAAUACCGCAUAACGUCUACGGACCAAAGUGGGGGACCUUCGGGCCUCAUGCCUAUAGAUUAGCCCAAGUGAGAUUAGCUAGUAGGUAAGGUAAUGGCUUACCUAGGCGACGAUCUCUAGCUGGUUUGAGAGGAUGAUCAGCCACACUGGGACUGAGACACGGCCCAGACUCCUACGGGAGGCAGCAGUGGGGAAUAUUGCGCAAUGGGCGAAAGCCUGAUGCAGCCAUGCCGCGUGUGUGAAGAAGGCCUUCGGGUUGUAAAGCACUUUCAGUCGUGAGGAAAGGGUGUAAGUUAAUACCUUGCAUCUGUGACGUUAGCGACAGAAGAAGCACCGGCUAACUCCGUGCCAGCAGCCGCGGUAAUACGGAGGGUGCGAGCGUCAAUCGGAAUUACUGGGCGUAAAGCGUGCGUAGGCGGUUUCUUAAGCGAGAUGUGAAAUCCCGGGGCUUAACCUCGGAACUGCAUUUCGAACUGGGUGACUAGAGUACCGUAGAGGGUGGUGGAAUUUCCAGUGUAGCGGUGAAAUGCGUAGAGAUUGGAAGGAACAUCAGUGGCGAAGGCGGCCACCUGGACAGAUACUGACGCUGAGGCACGAAAGCGUGGGGAGCAAACAGGAUUAAAUACCCUGGUAGUCCACGCCGUAAACGACGUCAACUAGCUGUCUGUGUUCUUGAAACGUGGGUAGCGUAGCUAACGCGCUAAGUUGACCGCCUGGGGAGUACGGCCGCAGGUUAAAACUCAAGUGAAUUGACGGGGGCCCGCGCAAGCGGUGGAGCAUGUGAUUUA
Molecule: ribosomal RNA, 884 nt
Filed under: uncultured Colwelliaceae bacterium
Lineage: Bacteria; Pseudomonadati; Pseudomonadota; Gammaproteobacteria; Alteromonadales; Colwelliaceae
Description: bacterial SSU rRNA
Rfam family: Bacterial small subunit ribosomal RNA
Source: RNAcentral